Molecule: long non-coding RNA, 2011 nt
Organism: Cephus cinctus (wheat stem sawfly)
Lineage: Eukaryota; Metazoa; Arthropoda; Insecta; Hymenoptera; Cephidae
Exons: 4
Source: RefSeq, a predicted model, not a curated record
UCCAACGGAAAAUUCGUUCCGUUUUGCUACUGGUAAUAUCUACUAGUAUGACGGAACGAAGUUUCCGUUCAUCCCACUGGAGAAGGACGGAGGACGCCAGUUGCAACUUGCAUGCCUUUGUGCAUAAGUUAAGGAAAAGUGUAUUACAUACUUUUAACUGUAGAAACUUAAUGUAGAUAAAGACGAGUUAACGUGACGGACUGAUUUGUGCAUUCUACUCGGGUGUAGGAUUGUUUGUGGCGUCACUGUUGUGCGGUGCUCGGUUUGUGUAUAAAUUAGUAUUGUUCGUAAGACGGUGACAAUGGUGUAGGAAGAAAACAAGAUGGAGGUGGAUGUUCAUCUGGUUGCAUUCGAGUGGUAGUCGAGUGGGUUCCGCACCUGUUACCUUUUUCAGAAGUGAACAGUGUUCCUUAACGCGUGUGCAAGUAAGAGUAUAUGCAACGUGCUGACUUAAUCCGGAGCCAUGGGGUAGACCAAUCUUGGCUAUACAAUGGCGGCCACCCGGCUUCCGCUCUAGUUAGUCCGUAGAGAGCGUAACUAGAAUGACAGGCUCUCGGUUUUACGUACGUACGUUGUCGUCGUAUAUAUUUCUAUACUUGUUAGCCACGUUAUGCGCGAGAAAUGCAGAUGCUGUCAGUGUAUAAAAAUCGUCAUGACUGAACCUUCGAAGAAAACCUUUGCCAACGAGUCAACUACGAUAAUUGGGAAUUCGAAACGCGGUCUCAGCCACGCACUCUAUUAGAGCACCUUGUUUGCUGUAACGUAUUGUCAGGCAAGACUUGGUCGUCGGCAUCCCCUGGAGGUUCUACGCUUUACGUACUACGUUCAGCCUUCUACGUCGUCUACAAGAUUCGUACGGGAUGUGGAAUGUUUAAAUCCUAAAUACAUUUUCAUCGUGUGAAACGUCCUUAAAGUGGUGCUCGGACAUGAGGAGGCCCAGGGUGUUGAUUCUCAAUUCCAUGGAUCGAGGAAAAAAAUCGGUAGCCAACCGAACACGAACGUUACGUCAGUGAAACGUUCUCUCGGGGUCGAUGAUCACGACUGUGCAUGCUGCGGACAUCGGACCACAUCGUGAUCCAACCUGGACCCAACACGCUCGUGGAAUCUCUGGACAAAUAGGCGAAUAUGCGCAUAAACAUUAUAUGACGUACACUGCAUCUUCGGUAUCCUGAAAUGGGAGCAAUAAUAAUUGGGAUAAAAAAUAUACAAGGUAAUGACGUUCCGAUAAGGGUAUCGAUAUUCGAUAAGCCAUCAGGACAGGCCGGAACCGCAAUUGACAUACCAAUAAGAUGAUGAAUACAAUAAUCUGUCCUGUAUUAUGCUUGAGAAAUUACAAGCUAGCAAUAUGCCGAUCGUAUCGAUGCACUCGCCAAUGAUUUAAAGUGCUUAAAUGGCAGGCGUCCUCUUAAACGGCUAUUGCCGAAGCCAAAUAAGAAAAUUGCCUUGCGCGAUAAUUGGAUCAACUGCCUACCGGCCGUUUCAUUAUAUCCCAUUAGAGGCUUCUAAGGAGUUUUUCAAGAAAUCAGUGGAAAUUCAAUUUCAACGUAUUUUCUAAGUAAAUCUGUCACCGAAUGGCGUUGCACGUAAUGGCAGAUACAUUGCGGAGUCGUCGGCGUUGGAUUUCUCGAAAUUUGAGGGGAAACAAAAAAUGGGAAAAUCGCUGAUGUAUGAUGGUCACGUUUGUAAUUAAUUGAACGAGGCACAACCCUCCUUUCUGUUACGCUUUGCCAUGUACGCGGCGCAUGCGAAAAAUUAAUUCCGUUCAGGAUUUGCAUAUACGUCCUGUUAGCGAUACGUGCGUACAUUCUACGAACGCAUUGUGCGUCUACGCGCCACUCUACAUAAAGUACUAAAUUGCGUGAGAUGCGUUCGGCAAAUGGGGGGCCGCCAGAAUCAUUCGUUAUCCAGGCAGUUUCCCAGAAACUAGAAACCCCGUAAAUCCGUACAGUUACCCUAUUAACUCUCGAAUGUGACUGUUUGCUUGUCAGCUUUACGACUGCUGGGGACGGAG